This 406-nucleotide ribosomal RNA is filed under the name uncultured bacterium. Its description in RNAcentral is "partial 16S ribosomal RNA". It matches the Rfam family "Bacterial small subunit ribosomal RNA", at positions 29 to 526 of the family's 1533-position model. The record is from RNAcentral.
AUUGAACGCUGGCGGCAGGCCUAACACAUGCAAGUCGAACGAGUGGCGGACGGGUGAGUAAUGUCUGGGAAACCGCCCGAUGGAGGGGGAUAACUACUGGGAACGGUAACUAAUACCGCAUACCAUCGGCUGUCCCCCGAUGGGGGUGGCUAGUAGGGGGGGUAACGCCUCACCUAGGCGACGAUCCCUAGCUGGUCUGACAGGCGGACGAGCGACACGGGAACUGAGACAGGGUCCAGACGCCUACGUGAGGCAGCAGUGGGGAACAUUGCACAAGGGGCGCAAGCCUGGUGCAGCGAUGGCGCGUGUAUUAAGAAGGCCUUCGGGUUGUAAAGUACUUUCAGCGAGGAGGCGUUACUCGCAGAAGAAGCACCGGCUAACUCCGUGCCAGCAGCCGCGGUAAUUC